CAUGACACCAAACCCUUAAUUUGAAGCAUACAUAUAAACAGCCUAUGAUUGUGAUCACAAUGCACCAUUUCUUAUUUAUUUUAUUCCUUUUUUUGGUUCUGCUUUGGACAGAGACAGGCAGUUCUUAUGAAAUGCAACAUAAAAAGCACUGGUUGUAAAUGGCAAGCAGUUUCACCUUUAGUGUUUUACAAAUACCUUGAUUUCUGUAUUAAAUUUCUUGUCAUUUUUAAUAAACCUAAGAAACAAACUAUUUGAGUAAUCAGACUCCUUUGUGUUUAUGCUUUGUACUUGUAUCCAGACACAUCUCCGUGGUGCUUUGUUCUUUUGGUGAGGUCUUAGCUUAGUGCAUCCUUUCCCCUCACUAUUUACUUUUCCUCAAAAGCUGUUUUUUGGACACCCUCUUCUCCAAAACAGUGUUUUAUAGCCUUCUGUCAUGGCAAAUUUACAAUAAUGAACUACAAAUGUAAGUAUUCUUUCUUUUUAAAUUUCUCUAAAUUUUUAUCUAUUUAUCUAAAAGAUAAGUAAAAAAACAUUCUUCUUGAAUUAAUAAAAAAUGGAAGAAAAUAUGUGUCACAUUAAGAAAGACAUAAAUUUAAACUUACAUUGAAUUUAUAUACCGUUAGUGGAACACACCUCAUAAGCAAACAUUUUAUUUUUUAAUUACUUAAUUGUGCCUUCUUAAUCACAGAAUGAAGAUUUAUUUGUCCUUCUAAAGAGAAACUUUAAUCAAAAUAUUCUCUAGUUAAAACACUGUAAAUUUGUUUGAUUCCCAGUGAAAUGGAAUCAGAAGGUAAAGAUGGCAGGAAGACUAAUUUUGUGCAUCCACAGCAUCCUCUCUCUCACCCAACUACUGCUACCAGUGAACUGCAGUGGCAGGAGCACCAUGCAGUUAAAUUUUAUUCAUAUCCUUAACUUUAUUAACAAGUCUGAGACACCUACAGCAUGCACACCCACACACCUGCUAAGCCAAUUUACAGGCAGGGAAAGCAGGCAUUUGCUGAAUUCCUGAUUCCCCAUUGCUCCACACCUGAGAGGCAGCUGCCCAUGGGAUGUGGUGCCCUCAUCUCCCCUCAAACACAGCAGCUCCUGCCCCCCUGCUACAGGCAGGAAUUACAGGCAGGUAGGGACCACAGGUAGGGAUUACAGGUAGGGAUUAUAGGUAGGAAUCACAGGCAGGUAGGAAUUACAAGUAGGUAGGGAUUAUAGGUAGGAAUUACAGGCAGGUAGGAAUUAUAGAUAGAGAUUACAGGUAGGAAUUACAGGCAGGAAUUAAAGGUAGGGAUUACAGGUAAGGAUUACAGGUAAGGAUUACAGGUAGGAAUUUGCCAUAGCUGCAAUUCCCAUGCCAUUCCCUGAGUGUGCAGUGGGACACAGGAAUGUGGCACAUUUCCAUCUGGCCAUCACUGGUAUGUUCACUGUGGAGAGCAGCUUGUA
Molecule: long non-coding RNA, 1434 nt
Organism: Oenanthe melanoleuca
Lineage: Eukaryota; Metazoa; Chordata; Aves; Passeriformes; Muscicapidae
Exons: 3
Source: RefSeq, a predicted model, not a curated record